UUCCGGUUGAUCCCGCCAGAGGCCACUGCUAUUGGGGUUCGGCUAAGCCAUGCGAGUGGAGGGCGUCCCGCAAGGGAUGGCCCCGCAGACGGCUCAGUAACACGUCGUCAACAUACCCUGGGGUGGGGGACAACCUCGGGAAACUGAGGAUAAUCCCCCAUAGGUGGGGGAGGCUGGAAUGCGCCCCUGCUGAAAGCCCAGGCGCCCUAGGACGGGGCGGCGGCCUAUCAGGUAGUUGGUGGUGUAACGGACCACCAAGCCUACGACGGGUACGGGCUGUGAGAGCAGGAGCCCGGAGAUGGGGACUGAGACAAGGCCCCAGGCCCUACGGGGCGCAGCAGGCGCGAAAACUCCGCAAUGCGCGCAAGCGUGACGGGGGAACCCCAAGUGCCGCUGAUCUUUGAUCGGCGGCUUUUCGGGAGUGCAGGGAGCUCCCGGAAUAAGGGCUGGGUAAGACUGGUGCCAGCCGCCGCGGUAAUACCAGCAGCCCAAGUGGUGGUCGCGUUUAUUGGGCCUAAAGCGCUCGUAGCCGGGCCGGUAAGUUCCCCGCGAAAUCGGGUCGCUCAACGAUUCGGCUUGCGGGGAAUACUGUCGGUCUUGGGGCCGGGAGACGCCGAGGGUACUCCGGGGGUAGCGGUGAAAUGCUGUAAUCCCUGGGGGACUACCAGUGGCGAAGGCGCUCGGCGAGAACGGGCC
This 696-nucleotide ribosomal RNA is filed under the name uncultured archaeon. RNAcentral describes it as "bacterial SSU rRNA". It matches the Rfam family "Archaeal small subunit ribosomal RNA", at positions 1 to 691 of the family's 1478-position model. The record is from RNAcentral.